AGAUUGAACGCUGGCGGCAUGCCUUACACAUGCAAGUCGAACGGCAGCACGGGAGCAAUCCUGGUGGCGAGUGGCGAACGGGUGAGUAAUACAUCGGAACGUGCCCAAUCGUGGGGGAUAACGCAGCGAAAGCUGUGCUAAUACCGCAUAAGAUCUACGGAUGAAAGCAGGGGAUCGCAAGACCUUGCGCGAAUGGAGCGGCCGAUGGCAGAUUAGGUAGUUGGUGAGGUAAAGGCUACACCAAGCCUUCGAUCUGUAGCUGGUCUGAGAGGACGACCAGCCACACGUGGGACUGAGGCACGGCCCAGACUCGUACGGGAGCAGCGA
This 327-nucleotide ribosomal RNA is filed under the name uncultured soil bacterium. RNAcentral describes it as "bacterial SSU rRNA". It matches the Rfam family "Bacterial small subunit ribosomal RNA", at positions 26 to 354 of the family's 1533-position model. The record is from RNAcentral.